CCCCUAGUAACUGCGAGUGAAGCGGGAAAAGCUCAAAUUUAAAAUCUGGUAGUCUUUGGCUGCCCGAGUUGUAAUCUAGAGAAGCGUUAUCCGCGCUGGACCGUGUACAAGUCUCCUGGAAUGGAGCGUCAUAGAGGGUGAGAAUCCCGUCUUUGACACGGACUACCAGGGCUUUUGUGAUGCGCUCUCGAAGAGUCGAGUUGUUUGGGAAUGCAGCUCAAAAUGGGUGGUAAAUUCCAUCUAAAGCUAAAUAUUGGCGAGAGACCGAUAGCGAACAAGUACCGUGAGGGAAAGAUGAAAAGAACUUUGGAAAGAGAGUUAAACAGUACGUGAAAUUGCUGAAAGGGAAACGCUUGAAGUCAGUCGCGUUGUCCAGGGAUCAACCUUGCUUUUGCUUGGUGCACUUUCUGGUUGACGGGUCAGCAUCAAUUUUGACUAUUGGAAAAAGAUCAGGGGAAUGUGGCAUCUUCGGAUGUGUUAUAGCCCUUGGUUGCAUACAAUGGUUGGGAUUGAGGAACUCAGCACGCCGCAAGGCCGGGUUUUAACCACGUACGUGCUUAGGAUGCUGGCAUAAUGGCUUUAAUCGACCCGUCUUGAAACACGGACCAAGGAGUCUAACAUGCCUGCGAGUGUUUGGGUGGAAAACCCGAGCGCGUAAUGAAAGUGAAAGUUGAGAUCCCUGUCGUGGGGAGCAUCGAUGCCCGGACCAGACCUUUUGUGACGGUUCCGCGGUAGAGCAUGUAUGUUGGGACCCGAAAGAUGGUGAACUAUGCCUGAAUAGGGUGAAGCCAGAGGAAACUCUGGUG
This 806-nucleotide ribosomal RNA is filed under the name Cortinarius aff. austrosanguineus 1 FS-2012. RNAcentral describes it as "eukaryotic LSU rRNA". It matches the Rfam family "Eukaryotic large subunit ribosomal RNA", at positions 77 to 869 of the family's 3401-position model. Lineage: Eukaryota; Fungi; Basidiomycota; Agaricomycetes; Agaricales; Cortinariaceae. The record is from RNAcentral.